This 408-nucleotide ribosomal RNA is filed under the name uncultured bacterium. RNAcentral's name for it is "partial 16S ribosomal RNA". It matches the Rfam family "Bacterial small subunit ribosomal RNA", at positions 28 to 526 of the family's 1533-position model. The record is from RNAcentral.
GACGAACGCUGGCGGCGUGCUUAACACAUGCAAGUCGAACGAAGUGGCGAACGGGUGAGUAACGCGUAAUCAACCUGCCCUUCAGAGGGGGACAACAGUUGAAACCGACUGCUAAUACCGCAUACUGAAGGAGGGGAUUGCGUCGGAUUAGCUAGUUGGAGGGGUAACGGCCCACCACGGCGAUGAUCAGUAGACGGUCGUAGAGGAUGAACGGCCAAAUUUGGACUGAGACACGGCCCAGAAUCCUACGGGAGGCAGCAGUGGGGAAUCUUCCGCAAUGGACGACAGUCUGACGGAGCAAAGCCGGGUGAGUGAUGACGGCCUUCGGGUUGUAAAGCUCUGUUAAUCGGGACGCGGUACCGGAAUAGAAAGCAACGGCUAACUACGUGCCAGCAGCCGCGGUAAUAC